GGGGUGAAAGGCUAAUCAAACUUGGAGAUAGCUCGUACUCCCCGAAAUGCAUUUAGGUGCAGCCUUGUGAGUUACUAAUGUGAGGUAGAGCGACUGAUAAGAUGCGAGGGCUUCACCGCCUAUCAAGUCUUGAUAAACUCCGAAUGCGCAUUAGUUCUAUCACAGGAGUGAGGGCAUGGGUGCUAAGGUCCAUGUCCUAAAGGAGAAGAAUCCAGACCAUCAGCUAAGGUCCCCAAAUAAACACUAAGUUGAACUAACGAAGUCAGAUUGCUAAGACAGCUAGGAUGUUGGCUUGGAAGCAGCCAUUCAUUUAAAGAGUGCGUAACAGCUCACUAGUCGAGGAGUUUGGCGUGGAUAAUAAUCGGGCAUUAAGUGUUUUACCGAAGCUAUGGGAUCAGUAAUGAUCGGUAGGGGAGCAUUCCACUCUGCGUCGAAGGUGAAGCGUGAGCUUUGCUGGAGCGUGUGGAAAAGCAAAUGUAGGUAUAAGUAACGAUAAAGGGGGUGAGAAACCCCCUCGCCGAAAGACUAAGGUUUCCUGAUCAACGCUAAUCGGAUCAGGGUUAGUCGGGUCCUAAGGCUCAGCCGAACGGUGAGGCCGAUGGCAGAACAGGUUAAUAUUCCUGUACUACCUUAAGGAGUGACGUGGAGACGGAGGAGUGAUAGCGCCGCGGACUGACGGAAUAGUCCGUUGAAGGGUGUAGAUGUUGAUCUUUGCAGGCAAAUCCACAAAGAGAGUCGAACCUGAUAGUAUACCAAAUUCUUCGGAAUAAGGUAAUAGUGCGUGUAAGCAUACUCCCAAGAAAAUCCGCUAAACUUAAUCUUUAAGGUACCCGUACCGCAAACGGACACACGUAGUCGGGUUGAAUAUACUAAGGCGCUUGAGUGAUUCACGGUUAAGGAACUAGGCAAAUUGACCCUGUAACUUCGGGAUAAAGGGUCCCAACGAGAGUUGGGCGCAGAGAAUAGGUCCAGGCAACUGUUUAACAAAAACACAGGGCUGUGCCAAAUUGAAAGAUUACGUAUACAGCCUGACACCUGCCCGGUGCUGGAAGGUUAAGAGGAGAUGUCAUCGCAAGAGAAGCAUUGAAUUGAAGCCCCAGUAAACGGCGGCCGUAACUAUAACGGUCCUAAGGUAGCGAAAUUCCUUGUCGGGUAAGUUCCGACCUGCACGAAUGGUGUAAUGAUCUGGACACUGUCUCAACCGUGAGCUCAGUGAAAUUGUAGUAUCGGUGAAGAUGCCGAUUACCCGCGAUGGGACGAAAAGACCCCGUGAACCUUUACUAUAGCUUAUCAUUGAAUCUGGGCACGUGAUGUGUAGGAUAGGUCGGAGGCUUUGAAGGGGGUACGCCAGUAUCCUUGGAGCCGCUGUUGAAAUACGACCCUUCAUUUGUUUGGAUUCUAACCCGUGUAUAUGGGGACACUGAUUGGUGGGUAGUUUGACUGGGGUGGUCGCCUCCAAAAGCGUAACGGAGGCUUCUAAAGGUGCCCUCA
Molecule: ribosomal RNA, 1491 nt
Filed under: human gut metagenome
Description: bacterial LSU rRNA
Rfam family: Bacterial large subunit ribosomal RNA
Source: RNAcentral